Molecule: transfer RNA, 74 nt
Filed under: Candidatus Moranbacteria bacterium CG2_30_45_14
Lineage: Bacteria; Candidatus Moraniibacteriota
Also listed under: 1 other name
Description: tRNA-Gly
Rfam family: tRNA
About the family: Transfer RNA (tRNA) molecules are approximately 80 nucleotides in length. Their secondary structure includes four short double-helical elements and three loops (D, anti-codon, and T loops).
Source: RNAcentral
GCGGGUAUAGUAUAGUGGUAAUACGUGACCUUCCCAAGGUUAAGCGAGGAGUUCGAUUCUCCUUACCCGCUCAA